RNAcentral lists this ribosomal RNA (567 nucleotides) under uncultured bacterium. RNAcentral describes it as "bacterial SSU rRNA". It matches the Rfam family "Bacterial small subunit ribosomal RNA", at positions 28 to 697 of the family's 1533-position model. The record is from RNAcentral.
AGUGAACGCUGGCGGUAGGCCUAACACAUGCAAGUCGAACGAUGGCGGACGGGUGAGGAAUGCAUGGAAUCUACUCUUUCGGGGGGAUAACGUAGGGAAACUUACGCUAAUACCGCAUACGAAUGAAUGAGCCGAUGCCCGAUUAGCUAGUUGGCGGGGUAAGGCCCACCAAGGCGACGACGGUAGCUGGUCUGAGAGGAUGAUCAGCCACACUGGAACUGAGACACGGUCCAGACUCCUACGGGAGGCAGCAGUGGGGAAUAUUGGACAAUGGGCGCAAGCCUGAUCCAGCCAUACCGCGUGGGUGAAGAAGGCCUUCGGGUUGUAAAGCCCUUUUGUUGGGAAGCGGUACCCAAAGAAUAAGCACCGGCUAACUUCGUGCCAGCAGCCGCGGUAAUACGAAGGGUGCAAGCGUUACUCGGAAUUACUGGGCGUAAAGCGUGCGUAGGUGGUUGUUUAAGUCUGUCGUGAAAGCCCUGGGCUCAACCUGGAAUUGCGAUGGAAACUGGGCACUAGAGUGUGGCAGAGGAUAGUGGAAUUCCUGGUGUAGCAGUGAAAGCGAGAGAC